Molecule: signal recognition particle RNA, 300 nt
Filed under: Amazona collaria (yellow-billed parrot)
Lineage: Eukaryota; Metazoa; Chordata; Aves; Psittaciformes; Psittacidae
Description: Metazoan signal recognition particle RNA (ENSACOG00000004033.1, ENSACOG00000004717.1)
Rfam family: Metazoan signal recognition particle RNA
About the family: The signal recognition particle (SRP) is a universally conserved ribonucleoprotein. It is involved in the co-translational targeting of proteins to membranes.
Source: Rfam by way of RNAcentral
GCCGGGCGUGGUGGCGCGCGCCUGUAGUCCCAGCUACUCGGGAGGCUGAGCUCGCCGGAUCGCUUGAGCCCAGGAGUUCUGGGCUGCAGUGCGCUAUGCCGAGCGGGCGUCCGCGCUAAGGCCGGCAUCAAUAUGGUGAGCCCCGGGGAGCUGGGGCACACCAGGUUGACUAAGGAGGGGUGAACCGGCCCAGGUCGGAGACGGAGCAGGUCAAAGCUCCCGUGCCGGUCAGUAGCGGGAUCGCGCCUGUGAAUAGCCACUGCAGCGUAGCCUGGGCAACAUAGAGAGACGCGGGUUCCU